GAUGACAGAGACAGCCUUGAUGCCUUCCACAAAUACAUGCAGAAAUCAAAAACUUUACCAGGAUAUUUGGGGCAUGCACUGUAUAAUAUAAGGGAUGAUCCUACGGAGCACAAAAAUUUGGUCCAAACCAUGCCCCAAGUUGUGCGAGAGAUGAAGAUGAAGUUGAAAUUGGCACAGCAAGAGAUGGUGCCCGCGAAUGCCCCACCGGGGGAUAUCAAAGGAAACCCGAACAAUUUUGGGGGAGUUUGGACACCGGGAUGGUGCUGAUAAUGUUGAUGUGCUACAUGUACAACUAUGGAAUAGCAUCGGUUUAAAAUUAAUUGACAUGAUGAAAAAUACUUACGAAAAAAUUUAAAAAACUUUUUUGUCAUUUGAUUACAUUUGUUUGUUUUAAUGUUGGCUAUUCUUUCUUCGGACUGAGGAAGUAGCCAUGGUGCUAAAGAUUUCAUUUAGCCAUUUAUUUCAUGCUAUUUCAUUUCAAUAUGAUUUACGAUUAAAGUGAUUUCUAUGAA
Long non-coding RNA from Lingula anatina, 512 nucleotides. The record is from RefSeq and is a predicted model, not a curated record. NCBI's taxonomy places the organism in Eukaryota, Metazoa, Brachiopoda, Lingulata, Lingulida, Lingulidae.